AUUGAACGCUGGCGGCAGGCCUAACACAUGCAAGUCGAACGGUAACAGGAAGCAGCUUGCUGCUUUGCUGACGAGUGGCGGACGGGUGAGUAAUGUCUGGGAAACUGCCUGAUGGAGGGGGAUAACUACUGGAAACGGUAGCUAAUACCGCAUAAUGUCGCAAGACCAAAGAGGGGGACCUUCGGGCCUCUUGCCAUCGGAUGUGCCCAGAUGGGAUUAGCUAGUAGGUGGGGUAACGGCUCACCUAGGCGACGAUCCCUAGCUGGUCUGAGAGGAUGACCAGCCACACUGGAACUGAGACACGGUCCAGACUCCUACGGGAGGCAGCAGUGGGGAAUAUUGCACAAUGGGCGCAAGCCUGAUGCAGCCAUGCCGCGUGUAUGAAGAAGGCCUUCGGGUUGUAAAGUACUUUCAGCGGGGAGGAAGGCGAUAAGGUUAAUAACCUUGUCGAUUGACGUUACCCGCAGAAGAAGCACCGGCUAACUCCGUGCCAGCAGCCGCGGUAAUACGGAGGGUGCAAGCGUUAAUCGGAAUUACUGGGCGUAAAGCGCACGCAGGCGGUCUGUCAAGUCGGAUGUGAAAUCCCCGGGCUCAACCUGGGAACUGCAUUCGAAACUGGCAGGCUAGAGUCCUGUAGAGGGGGGUAGAAUUCCAGGUGUAGCGGUGAAAUGCGUAGAGAUCUGGAGGAAUACCGGUGGCGAAGGCGGCCCCCUGGACAAAGACUGACGCUCAGGUGCGAAAGCGUGGGGAGCAAACAGGAUUAGAUGCCCUGGUAGUCCACGCCGUAAACGAUGUCGACUUGGAGGUUGUGCCCUUGAGGCGUGGCUUCCGGAGCUAACGCGUUAAGUCGACCGCCUGGGGAGUACGGCCGCAAGGUUAAAACUCAAAUGAAUUGACGGGGGCCCGCACAAGCGGUGGAGCAUGUGGUUUAAUUCGAUGCAACGCGAAGAACCUUACCUACUCUUGACAUCCAGAGAACUUUCCAGAGAUGGAUUGGUGCCUUCGGGAACUCUGAGACAGGUGCUGCAUGGCUGUCGUCAGCUCGUGUUGUGAAAUGUUGGGUUAAGUCCCGCAACGAGCGCAACCCUUAUCCUUUGUUGCCAGCGGUUAGGCCGGGAACUCAAAGGAGACUGCCAGUGAUAAACCGGAGGAAGGUGGGGAUGACGUCAAGUCAUCAUGGCCCUUACGAGUAGGGCUACACACGUGCUACAAUGGCGCAUACAAAGAGAAGCGACCUCGCGAGAGCAAGCGGACCUCAUAAAGUGCGUCGUAGUCCGGAUUGGAGUCUGCAACUCGACUCCAUGAAGUCGGAAUCGCUAGUAAUCGUGGAUCAGAAUGCCACGGUGAAUACGUUCCCGGGCCU
Molecule: ribosomal RNA, 1363 nt
Filed under: uncultured bacterium
Lineage: Bacteria
Description: bacterial SSU rRNA
Rfam family: Bacterial small subunit ribosomal RNA
Source: RNAcentral